GAGAUAACUAGAUAGGAAAAGGAACUGCAGAACCUAGAACUAGAAAGUUACUCAGGAAGAGACCAGAAGGGUGAAAGUUUAAGGUAGCUCAGUCGACAAUAGAGUAAACUUAACCACCGAGAGUAAAAGAGAUCUUACUCAAGGAUGCAGAAGGUAAUCUCACUUUUGACACCCACUGUUCUCGAUGAGAAAAA
Molecule: non-coding RNA, 194 nt
Submitted as: unclassified sequences
Source: Rfam